UUGAAACACCAAUUCUCAUACGAUCACCAAAGUUAAGCAAUGUUGAGCCUGGUCAGUACCCAGGUAUGAAACUGUUUGGGAAUACCAGGUGCUGUAA
Molecule: non-coding RNA, 97 nt
Organism: Acanthosepion pharaonis
Lineage: Eukaryota; Metazoa; Mollusca; Cephalopoda; Sepiida; Sepiidae
Source: the annotation of a GenBank genome assembly